GCCAGCAGCCAUGUCACCCUGCAACUUACAAUUGGCAACCCACUAAAGCUAAGCAGGUCUGAGCUUGGUCAGUACCUGGAUGGGAGACCUCCUGGGAAAAACUAAGGUUGCUGUUGGAA
Ribosomal RNA from Lepisosteus oculatus (spotted gar), 119 nucleotides. NCBI's taxonomy places the organism in Eukaryota, Metazoa, Chordata, Actinopteri, Semionotiformes, Lepisosteidae. The record is from Ensembl.